This is an RNA transcript of Triticum aestivum (bread wheat), 2927 nucleotides long. RefSeq lists it as uncharacterized. Lineage: Eukaryota; Viridiplantae; Streptophyta; Magnoliopsida; Poales; Poaceae. The transcript is spliced from 5 exons. The record is from RefSeq and is a predicted model, not a curated record.
AAUGGAACGAUCGACUGGGCAGAGAUCGCAUCUCCCUGGCUCUCCUCUCUCGGCCUCUUCCCCUCUCGCGCCCAAGGCAAAGCGACGCCGGCGGCCGCGACCUAGCCCACUCUCAGGCCAUCUCGCCGCCUCUCUCCGCCUGCGUCCCUCUCCACCCAAAAAAGAAAAACGAAGGAAAAAAAACUGAAUCAGCGACGCACCAGGUCGCCAUUCUCUGCGACGCAAGCACCAGAACAACAAGGCCGCCGGUGGCUGCGAGCGCCGGAGCGCACGGCGGGGAGAGCGAACGACGAGGCGCGGUCGGCACAGACCAGAGAGGUGCUGGGGCAGCUUCUUCUUCAGAGAUGUUUCUAGGUCUGCUGAAUCCGCAUGUCCCACAUGGAAAAUUGCUAGCUGUGGUGCUUGUGGCCGCUUCGACCUCCAUUGCUGCCGCUGCUUCGUCGCCGAGUGAGCAGGCAGGGAGCAGCCAGAAAUCUUUCAAUUGCAUGCCCUGCUCUAUGACAUACGUUUCUGAUGCAUAUCCCGGCGCCUUGACGCCACCGCUUGCUCAACAUAAUAACUUAGCUGACGUACCUCAUUCGUCUGACUUGUGCAAAGGACUUACUAAUGACCUUGAUGUGCCUGUGCUUUUGGAAUCGCACCGGCAACUUGUUGGUGAAGGUUCCCACCGCCGUCUUGUCUAUUCCAUGAAAUUUGGUAGCAGCAAAGAUACUUUGGUAAAAUUCCUUGAUGGCUAUGAUGCGAAUCUUGUGAUAAUUGAGAGCCUCCCUAGUGGGGUCUUUGUUGACCCAUUUGAGCUACAUCAUUUUGUUGAACGAAAAGGUGAGACAAAACUCUGAGCUAGCCAGUCGACUACACUAAUAUACAUAAUACAUUUACAUUGUGAUGAUUUGCUUUUUAUCUUGUACUUUUUCUUGAUGUUGCUGUUUUUGGAGACAAAAACCUGGAACUACCCUCAGCUCUGUCCAACCGGUCAGCUGUUGAGAUUCAUUUUGAUCUCAAGCCAAGCACAUCAAUGAACUGUAACCUUGUGAUGGAGCUUCCUCUCCAUGCUAGAUACCCAGUAAGUUUAUAGUUUCUCUGCGGUAACAAGCUGUCAACUUGAUUUAGGUUCAUGCUGUCUGCAAAUACAUACUUCUGAUUGGAAAGUUUGCCUUCUCAGUUUGAGGAAAUGGGUCACACGAUUAUUUUUAAAACAUUCAAAAACGGUCUAGUGUUUAUGUGCAUAUCACCUCCUUGAUGGAAAUCAAACAGACGAAAUAACUAUUCUAGGCCAGGUUAUCUAUUUGGCGCACAUAAUGCAUGCCUAGCAUGUUAAUUGCAGAACAGGCACCUAAAAAAAUAUCAAGUAGAGAUCAGCAAUACCUUGCAACUGUAGUAAUUUAUGUUUAGUUUUGCUUUAGGUCACAUCUCAUUAGUGUCCUUGUAUUUAUGGUAAUGUUACGGACCAGCUAUUGAGGGGAUCCCACCAUAAAAGGUUUCCAGAUUUUCCAGACGAACACUGAAGCUAGUGAAUAGUGUGAGAGAUGGUACAUCUGACAAAAAUAAAAUUUCUGAUAAACUAAAUUGCGGAAAAAUAAUUACUCAACUGUGUAGUCAAACAAGAGACCGAGAAAUGAGAAAGAUGAACCGUGAGAUGAAUGCUAAUAACUAAGUGGCAUAAAUCACUUUUCAUUGUAUAUUUGUGUGUUUUUUAUUUCAUCGUUAGGUCGAGUUUAAGAUUUUGCUAGACCGUGGCUCCCUGGUUACCUUGAUCCCACGUAUUUUUAGGAAAUUUUGAAAAGCUUUAAUGAUAUCAACAGAUCGAGUGAAACAAGGAACACUGCAGUGUGUUUGUGGUCAGGCAACAUAGUUGGUGAAAUGGGAAGCUACAGAACUGUAAUUAAUUUACCUUUUCUAGAGAAUUUCACUUUUGGAAUACUUUCAUCUGAAAUGUUCUGUGUGUGUUGGAGAUUGCUGUGGAUGGUAGGAGAUAGAAAGAGAAAACCGGCGGAAGCUAAAUCUGUGGGGCUGACCACCUACCCCACCUCCAUUUGCAUGUUCUAACUUGGUGCAAACAUACCUGAAAUGCACAUGGUGUUACGAAAAUAUCUCUCAUGUAGUCAUGUUGAUCUCCUUAUUUGUGAUGGAAGGUGAAUGUACAGGGCAGUUAUCUUGGGAGUCAUUUUCUAGGUCUUAGGUUCCUCCCAAAUUCUCUUAUAACAGAUGCUUGAUGUUAUUAAAGUCGCUUUCUUCCUCAAGAAAAUAUCUAAGAUUCUUAGUCCAGUCCAAGUAUCGAUGUUACCAUGGAUCCAUGAUAAAUUUCACAUACAGCCUCUCGACGCCAGCGGUUAUGCAACGGUCGAGUUCGGCAGCCCUGACCUGCUCCUCCGUUACAGAAGAAAGGUGACCCAUCCUGAUUCCUGCCUGUGGGUCCUCCAGAAUUUCGACGCCACACCUGUGGAGAAAGCCGCGUGGUACAUGCCUUGUGGCGACGAAGCGCACACAGGAUUUGUCUCUAGCCUCGCUUUCAUUUCGGCUCUGGUUUGCUCCAUGUCCAUAGUCCUGGCAGCCUCCCUGGUUUCUUGAUGCAAGUACUGGAUUCUCGAGACAUGAUGUGUUGGUCUACUUCAAAAGUCAGAUUGCUCUCGCAGGCUUUUGCACGUCCAUAUGCAAUCUGCAGUUUUCAGAGGAAACCAAGAGCACUGUUGUGCUACCCUUUGUGGCAUGUGGGCGAUCUGGACCCUCAGAAAUAAAAGAUACCAUGGGGAGACUACCAUGAACAUCUCACAAGCAUGCAGAUGGGCCUGGGAGAUGGCACCAGAUAUGAUCCAAACAUCAAAUUCUGAUGCAAAGGAGAAAAAAAAACUAGAAUCAUGAAAUGGAAACGCCCCACUGUAGGUUUUGUAAAGGUGAAUGUUGAUGCAUCUUUCAAUUUGGAUACUCAA